This 463-nucleotide ribosomal RNA is filed under the name uncultured bacterium. RNAcentral's name for it is "bacterial SSU rRNA". It matches the Rfam family "Bacterial small subunit ribosomal RNA", at positions 66 to 524 of the family's 1533-position model. The record is from RNAcentral.
ACGGCAGCACGGGAGCAAUCCUGGUGGCGAGUGGCGAACGGGUGAGUAAUAUAUCGGAACGUGCCCAGUCGUGGGGGAUAACGCAGCGAAAGCUGUGCUAAUACCGCAUACGAUCUCUGGAUGAAAGCGGGGGACCUUCGGGCCUCGCGCGAUUGGAGCGGCCGAUAUCAGAUUAGCUAGUUGGUGGGGUAAAAGCUCACCAAGGCGACGAUCUGUAGCUGGUCUGAGAGGACGACCAGCCACACUGGAACUGAGACACGGUCCAGACUCCUACGGGAGGCAGCAGUGGGGAAUUUUGGACAAUGGGCGCAAGCCUGAUCCAGCAAUGCCGCGUGCAGGAUGAAGGCCUUCGGGUUGUAAACUGCUUUUGUACGGAACGAAACGGCUCUUUCUAAUAAAGAGGGCUAAUGACGGUACCGUAAGAAUAAGCACCGGCUAACUACGUGCCAGCAGCCGCGGUAAU